Molecule: ribosomal RNA, 253 nt
Filed under: uncultured bacterium
Lineage: Bacteria
Description: partial 16S ribosomal RNA
Rfam family: Bacterial small subunit ribosomal RNA
Source: RNAcentral
UACGUAGGGUGCGAGCGUUAAUCGGAAUUACUGGGCGUAAAGCGUGCGCAGGCGGUUCGUUGUGUCCGAUGUGAAAGCCCCGGGCUUAACCUGGGAAUGGCAUUGGAAACUGGCGAGCUUGAGUGCGGCAGAGGGGGGUGGAAUUCCGCGUGUAGCAGUGAAAUGCGUAGAGAUGCGGAGGAACACCGAUGGCGAAGGCAGCCCCCUGGGUCGACACUGACGCUCAUGCACGAAAGCGUGGGGAGCAAACAGG